This 749-nucleotide long non-coding RNA is filed under the name Nicotiana tabacum (common tobacco). RNAcentral describes it as "long non-coding RNA (NTAB_LNC001986)". The record is from RNAcentral. Lineage: Eukaryota; Viridiplantae; Streptophyta; Magnoliopsida; Solanales; Solanaceae.
UAUAAUUUUUAAUUAAUAAAAGAAGAAAAAACCCUUCUUUUCCUCCUCCCAACCAAAAUCAUUACUUAAGCCAAGUAAAACAACAAAAAAAGAGGGCUAAAAGGCAAAAUCUGACAGUACGUUGCAGCAAAGGUUCCGCUGGAAGUCACAAUUUCUGUACCCCAAACAUGCACUCAGGUUUUUCUUCUAUUUCCCAUUUUCAUUAUUCCAGUAACUUCCGCCGGCAGCCAUGACUCCAGUUUCAUCAAAGCUUUACACAGAUGAUGUAAGCCUAUUGAUGGUUCUGAUCUAUACAAAUCCGUGCUUUUGGAGCUCCAUGAAGAAUAUUGCCUUCACAUUCGAAGGUCUUAGAUUGGUUCUUUUUGGUUUUUCAGAUUUGGGGUUAAUAAGGGAGAUUGAAGAAAGUUAGUGGUUAUGUGGUGGUGUAAUAGUGGAGAUUUUUUAUUUUUGGAUUUGCUUAAUUGUGGAUAGUGAUGGAAGUUGUGUUUUUUCUGUCUUCUAGGGGAAAGAUGGAGAAAGUUUGGGGCAGAGGACGGCACAAGAUGUGGAGGAGAAAUUGGAGAAGGAGGAGGUUUAAAAAUUAGGAGGGGUCCAUAUUGAUUUUAGGAAGAAAAAAAAAAGAUAAAUUUAAUUUUAAAGAUCUUUACACGAUUAGAUCUGAGUAUAACGUACAAGAUUUGUCAUUUAAAAGAAUAUAUUUCUGCCAAGCAAAGCAAAGGUGUUUGUCUGGUCAUGUCAAGUUAAGAUAU